GACGAACGCUGGCGGCGUGCUUAACACAUGCAAGUCGAACGAAGAGCGACGGAAGCUUGCUUCUAUCAAUCUUAGUGGCGAACGGGUGAGUAACGCGUAAUCAACCUGCCCUUCAGAGGGGGACAACAGUUGGAAACGACUGCUAAUACCGCAUACGAUCUAACCUCGGCAUCGAGGAUAGAUGAAAGGUGGCCUCUACAUGUAAGCUAUCACUGAAGGAGGGGAUUGCGUCUGAUUAGCUAGUUGGAGGGGUAACGGCCCACCAAGGCGAUGAUCAGUAGCCGGUCUGAGAGGAUGAACGGCCACAUUGGGACUGAGACACGGCCCAGACUCCUACGGGAGGCAGCAGUGGGGAAUCUUCCGCAAUGGACGAAAGUCUGACGGAGCAACGCCGCGUGAGUGAUGACGGCCUUCGGGUUGUAAAGCUCUGUUAAUCGGGACGAAAGGCCUUCUUGCGAAUAGUGAGAAGGAUUGACGGUACCGGAAUAGAAAGCCACGGCUAACUAGGUG
RNAcentral lists this ribosomal RNA (510 nucleotides) under uncultured bacterium. RNAcentral describes it as "partial 16S ribosomal RNA". It matches the Rfam family "Bacterial small subunit ribosomal RNA", at positions 28 to 507 of the family's 1533-position model. The record is from RNAcentral.